Molecule: ribosomal RNA, 497 nt
Filed under: uncultured bacterium
Lineage: Bacteria
Description: partial 16S ribosomal RNA
Rfam family: Bacterial small subunit ribosomal RNA
Source: RNAcentral
GAUGAACGCUGGUGGCGUGCCUAAUACAUGCAAGUCGAGCGAACGGACGAGAAGCUUGCUUCUCUGAUGUUAGCGGCGGACGGGUGAGUAACACGUGGAUAACCUACCUAUAAGACUGGGAUAACUUCAGGAAACCGGAGCUAAUACCGGAUAAUAUUUUGAACCGCAUGGUUCAAAAGUGAAAGACGGUCUUGCUGUCACUUAUAGAUGGAUCCGCGCUGCAUUAGCUAGUUGGUAAGGUAACGGCUUACCAAGGCAACGAUGCAUAGCCGACCUGAGAGGGUGAUCGGCCACACUGGAACUGAGACACGGUCCAGACUCCUACGGGAGGCAGCAGUAGGGAAUCUUCCGCAAUGGGCGAAAGCCUGACGGAGCAACGCCGCGUGAGUGAUGAAGGUCUUCGGAUCGUAAAACUCUGUUAUUAGGGAAGAACAAAUGUGUAAGUAACUAUGCACGUCUUGACGGUACCUAAUCAGAAAGCCACGGCUAACUACGUG